Papaver somniferum (opium poppy) is the source of this 2247-nucleotide long non-coding RNA. RefSeq lists it as uncharacterized. NCBI's taxonomy places the organism in Eukaryota, Viridiplantae, Streptophyta, Magnoliopsida, Ranunculales, Papaveraceae. The transcript has 5 exons. The record is from RefSeq and is a predicted model, not a curated record.
GUCGUGCCACAAAAAAACACUAGUCCAAGUCUCGGAGAGAGAGAAAACUGGAGGAAGCAGGAGGGUUCAAAAAUGGUAGAAAUCCAGGAUAAAUCCCCAUCUACUGACAAAGAGACCUUGUUAGUGAACUCCACUGUUACUGGAAGUAAUAGAACUAAUCAUGACAUUGACAUGGGGAGGGUUUUUGAUAAUGAUGAUGAAAUAUACAAUUUCUACAAAGAAUAUGCUAAGAAAACUGGGUUUCCUGUACACAGAAGAACAAGAAAGAGAAAGGAUGAUGGGUGUUUAAGAUGUGUGUCUUUUGGUUGUGCAAAAAGGAGGUAAACAUCAAAGGAAAGCUGUAUGGAAAUUGGAUGUGGGGCUUAUAUUACACGUGCGACAAGGGAAUUUGAAAUGGGUGGUUUCAGUGGUUAAUUUAGAGCAUAAUCAUAAGUGUAAUCCCGAGGAUGUUCAGUUUUAUAAGUGUUCUGAAGCAGUUUGUAGCAGUGCGUAAAAACAAAGGCGGAUUGAUCUUAUGGUGGAGGGUCCAUUGGGAAGAAGAAGGCGAAGACAGCAGUUCAAAAUGACGGUGGAGGAUGUGUGGAAAUGGUUGCUGAGUGAAAUGCAAUUGGUGAAGGAAGACGUCUACCAUGAUUUGUGUACUAAAUUUGCAGAGCUUGCUGCUUUGGCAGCAAAUGAUGAGACUCUUUAUCACGAUAUUGUCAACUGGUUGGAUUGUAAAAAAAAGGAACUGCAACAGACAGUUAUCAAAGCUAAAUAAAGCAAAAAACUCAAUGAAGAACAACUUGGAAGAAAAUGUAGAGGAGAUGGUAGAUAAAGAUGGUGAAAGUGAAGAAGGUGAUAAAAUGUAGAGGUGUUGUUUUCAUCAAUUCAAAACUUGAUAGAAAGGUAGACAAACGGUAUCAAAUGUAGGAGCAUAAACUGGAAAGGGGUUUGGUUUUGUUUUGGAUUGUGGUGGUGGAAUCAAGAAACCUUGUCCUUCAAUGUCAUAAUGGCUUCUCCUCAGACAAGGAAUACUUGUACUUGUAUGGGGUUUCCUCCAUUGAGCAGUGGAAGGUCAAAACACGCAUUCAUCAGUAACUUUGCUAGGGAUGCUAUGCGAGAGAAAAAGAUUGGACACAUUACAUGAGUAAUGCUGUUAGCUGUGGGCAGUGUUUCUCAGAUCGUACAAGUGCUUUGUUGACAGUGCAGACUGUUAUUCCGGAACUGGCGUCCUUGGAUUUAGGGGGUGAAAGAUUUAAGCUGCAUCCUCCACAAUAUUUUGUAGCGACAAAUCUAGAUUUGCAAAAUGGAGUAGUUGAAGGAAACCAUACGAGUUGCUGACGAUUUGAAGAUGGUUGCUGUCAGAGAGUACGAAAUAAUCAAGGGGCGCCGUUGGUGCUCUUAUACUACAAGGAGGACUACUUUUGAUGGUGUGUUGGGCGCUGGCUUGCUGAAAUCAAAAUUUCUUUUCAGGAACGUGUUUAUUGGGUUAACUUCUUUGUCUACUACGCGAGUUCCAUUUGAAUUGAAGCCUAAACACUCUGCAAGAAAGAUAAUGACAUUGGUUCCUGUCUGUAUGCAAAGGCGUUCCAGCAAAAUUGCUGGUAGGAAGGUAUGUUUUUGCACAUUCUUAACACCCACAGUUUUUCUUUACUAUUAUACUUGCAUUUCAAUGACAAUUACAAACUCAUAACAUAUGUGAGCUUAAUACUUAGUUACCUUAGAAUUUUCUACUUUCACUUUCAGUCACUGAUAUCCAUUUUUCAGUUCGAGAAGAUAUGUAAUACCGUUUUAUUGAUUGAUGUAAAUUGGAAUUUUCUGAAUUAGAAUGAACAUGCAUUUGCGGAUUUGGGAAUGACUAUGUGUUGUUUCCAUAACUCUGUUAUGAACAUAUAUGGUUCACUUUGAAUCCUUGGAUCUAACUUUUAUAUCCAGGUUUGCUCAAUGCUAUGAGAUAGUGACAGAGGAAGUUUGUGGGUCAAAUUCUUCAAUAUCACUCUAUUUAAAAUUAUUUGAUCUGUAGUGUUGCUAUUCUAUUUUAUUUCGUUUACAGCAAUGCGGGAUAAAUGGCUGAGUUACUGGCGGAGAGCCAGAAACUUGGACCAUUUAUUCAAGUUCUAUGGUUCUUUGCAACAGUCAAACCGUUGUGUUUAUGUAUUACUUACUCAAGGUAGUUAUUAUUUUUUGCAUUGCUGUUGUUGCUCUUUUAGCACCUAGAUAUAGUAAAAGUUGGUAAGUGGCUAGAUAAAAGCCGCCACAUAUUAA